GACGAACGCUGGCGGCGUGCCUAACACAUGCCAGUCGAACGAAAAGGCCCGGAGUUUGUUCGGUGCUCGAGUGGCGAACGGGUGAGUAACACGUGAGUAACCUGCCCCUGACUUUGGGGUAACUUCAGGAAACUCGGGCUAAUACCGCAUAGAAUCUAUUGCUGCAUGGUGGGCAUUGGUAAGUUUCGGCGGUUGGGGAUGGAAUGGCGGCUUAUCAGCUGGAUUGUGGGGUAGUGGAUUACAAAGGCUUGGACGGGUAGCCGGCCUGAGAGGGGGACCGGGGACAUUGGUACUGAGAUACGGCGCAGACGCGUAUGGGAGGCAGCAGGGGGGAGUAUGGCAGAAUGGGGGGAAGCCAGAUGCGGCAAUGCCGCGUGCGGGAAGACGGGCUUUUGGUUGUGAACCAAUGUCGCAUGUGACGUGGCGUGAUUGACGGUACCGGGUAAAGAAGCACCGGCUAACUACGUG
RNAcentral lists this ribosomal RNA (468 nucleotides) under uncultured bacterium. RNAcentral's name for it is "partial 16S ribosomal RNA". It matches the Rfam family "Bacterial small subunit ribosomal RNA", at positions 28 to 507 of the family's 1533-position model. The record is from RNAcentral.